UGUGUGUGUGUGUGUGUGUGUGUGUGUGUGUGUGUGUGUGUGUGUGUGUGUGUGGCGCGCUCAUGCGCACAC
Molecule: microRNA precursor, 72 nt
Filed under: Notamacropus eugenii (tammar wallaby)
Lineage: Eukaryota; Metazoa; Chordata; Mammalia; Diprotodontia; Macropodidae
Description: miRNA (ENSMEUG00000017496.1)
Source: RNAcentral